This 72-nucleotide transfer RNA is filed under the name Camelus bactrianus (Bactrian camel). It matches the Rfam family "tRNA". Rfam says of the family: Transfer RNA (tRNA) molecules are approximately 80 nucleotides in length. Lineage: Eukaryota; Metazoa; Chordata; Mammalia; Artiodactyla; Camelidae. RNAcentral also lists the same sequence under 1 other name. The record is from Rfam by way of RNAcentral.
GAGGGUAUAGCUCAGUGUAAGAGUACGUGCUUAGCAUGCAGGAGGUCCUGGGUUCAAUUCCUGGCAUCUCCA